UGAAAUUCUCAAAGUAAACCUUUUGUUAAUUCAAUUGGUUCCGCUUUGGACUUGGAGGUCUUUGCGGAUUAACAUCUGCUCCUCUUAAAUUUAUUAGCUGGAUCUCAGUAUAUGCUUGGUUCCACUCGGCGUGAUAAGUUAUCAUUCGCUGAGGACACUGUAAAAGGUGGCCAGGAAAUACAGAUGAACCGCUUCUAAUAGUCUAUUAAAUUAGACAAUUAAUUUUAAG
RNAcentral lists this unclassified non-coding RNA (229 nucleotides) under uncultured Ceratobasidiaceae. RNAcentral describes it as "sequence contains ITS2". The record is from RNAcentral. Lineage: Eukaryota; Fungi; Basidiomycota; Agaricomycetes; Cantharellales; Ceratobasidiaceae.